RNAcentral lists this ribosomal RNA (253 nucleotides) under uncultured bacterium. Its description in RNAcentral is "partial 16S ribosomal RNA". It matches the Rfam family "Bacterial small subunit ribosomal RNA", at positions 524 to 776 of the family's 1533-position model. The record is from RNAcentral.
UACGUAGGGCGCAAGCGUUGUCCGGAAUUAUUGGGCGUAAAGAGCUCGUAGGCGGUUUGUCGCGUCUGCUGUGAAAACUCAGGGCUUAACUCUGAGCUUGCAGUGGGUACGGGCAGACUAGAGUGCGGUAGGGGAGACUGGAAUUCCUGGUGUAGCGGUGAAAUGCGCAGAUAUCAGGAGGAACACCGGUGGCGAAGGCGGGUCUCUGGGCCGUAACUGACGCUGAGGAGCGAAAGCAUGGGGAGCGAACAGG